GUGAGCAAGUGUUUAUAAAUUACCCAUACCAACUUUCUGUUUUACCUUCUUAGUAAAAAGGUCUAACUUUUAUUAAAUUUUAUUCACUGUAGUUUUCCCUGAAAAUAGUAACGAGCAAAGAGGACAGACCACUCAAAGAAGAUGUUUAUUGGCAGGCAUCUUAGCUGAGGGCAACACAGUGACCCGUAACCGUCUUAGCUGUGAACAACCAAACUCCGGUUUUAGCUCCGUUCUGGGUUUUGUGCUGGGCCCUACGGACACAGGGAUCCCUAAGAAGACAGGUCGAAAUGAAGUAAAGAGGCCUAUACAACGAAAUGAGUCUGGAGAGCUUGCUUCUUCCGUCCCCGUCCCCUGGCAUGCCCACGACUCAAGACUCAAUGAUGGGAGAUCCUGUGAAUCUUCGCUGACUUUGCAUGGAGCUGGUUUCCCGGCUGCGUGACCUGUAGAGAGGAGGGCCAGCGCUUAGAAGGAGUAUCCGUGGAAAGACUCUGCUGUCUUAAAAGUCUCAAUAAUUU
Molecule: long non-coding RNA, 515 nt
Organism: Heterocephalus glaber (naked mole-rat)
Lineage: Eukaryota; Metazoa; Chordata; Mammalia; Rodentia; Bathyergidae
Source: Ensembl